GACUCAGUUAUGGUGACCUGGAAGGAGUG
This 29-nucleotide non-coding RNA is filed under the name Rattus norvegicus (Norway rat). Lineage: Eukaryota; Metazoa; Chordata; Mammalia; Rodentia; Muridae. The record is from RNAcentral.